AUGUUGAUGGGUUUGCAUUAU
RNAcentral lists this non-coding RNA (21 nucleotides) under Arabidopsis thaliana (thale cress). Lineage: Eukaryota; Viridiplantae; Streptophyta; Magnoliopsida; Brassicales; Brassicaceae. The record is from RNAcentral.